RNAcentral lists this ribosomal RNA (464 nucleotides) under uncultured bacterium. RNAcentral's name for it is "bacterial SSU rRNA". It matches the Rfam family "Bacterial small subunit ribosomal RNA", at positions 338 to 795 of the family's 1533-position model. The record is from RNAcentral.
CCUACGGGUGCAGCAGUGGGGAAUCUUCCGCAAUGGACGAAAGUCUGACGGAGCAACGCCGCGUGAGUGAUGAAGGUCUUCGGAUUGUAAAGCUCUGUUAAUCGGGACGAAAGAGUUCUGUGUAAAUAAUGCAGAAAAGUGACGGUACCGGAAUAGAAAGCCACGGCUAACUACGUGCCAGCAGCCGCGGUAAUACGUAGGUGGCAAGCGUUGUCCGGAAUUAUUGGGCGUAAAGCGCGCGCAGGCGGCCUAUCCAGUCUGUCUUAAAAGUUCGGGGCUCAACCCCGUGAUGGGAUGGAAACUAGUAGGCUAGAGUAUCGGAGAGGAAAGCGGAAUUCCUAGUGUAGCGGCGAAAUGCGUAGAUAUUAGGAAGAACACCAGUGGCGAAGGCGGCUUUCUGGACGAAAACUGACGCUGAGGCGCGAAAGCCAGGGGAGCGAACGGGAUUAGAUACCCCAGUAGUC